CAGUUUCUUAGUUGUGCUGCUCACCCCACAUUCUUUUAGGGUGCUGGGCAGGCCCCUGCCCCGUGCAUGGCAGCCAGCCAUUUAGGUUAGCAGGCUUCUUUUUUUUUUUUCUUUUUUAAGAUCUUAUUUAUUUAUUUGGCAGAGACAGAGAGAGGAAAGCAGGCUCUCCGCUGAGCAGAGAGCCCGAGGCGGGGCUCGAUUCCAGGACCCUGAGAUCAUGACCUGAGCCGAAGGCAGAGGCUUAACCCUCUGAGCCACCCAGAUGCCCUGGUUACCAGGCUUCUAACUGCUGGGUGGGUCUGAGUCCCUGUUGGUCAGGGGACACAGCCCGUGCACGUGCUGGGUGUGGCGGAGGAGGGUGAUGUGACCUGACGCCGUUGAGGGAGCAGGCCGCCUCCUUCAUGCGGCUGCCAGGGGUCAGCAGUUGGGCUCCCAGCAGCCCCUGGGGUCAGCAUCCUGCCAGCCCAGGCACCCUUCCUGGGUCUCGGUUUCCCUAUCUGGGGGUUGCAGGGCGGGGGCAGAGGUGUCAGGGCCCAGUGAUGGAGCCUUCUGGGGUGGAGAGGACCGUGACCUGUUAGGACCAAGUGUGGCCUCACCCCGCCUGGCCUCUCAGCAGGGCCUCCGUCUGCCGGUGGCGCCCUUGGCCAGUGCCCACGGCUGCGGGGUACCCGUGACUGCUCCCAGCCCUGUCGCAGUGGCCGCCCUGUGGCACCCUCCGCCCUUCCCCCCGUGGGUGAGAGGAGCGUCCGGAUGCUAAGUUGAUCUUCCAUCUGGAGACGAGGCUCUGCCCCGAGCUGAGCGUGGCCGGCUGGGGACUCCAGGAGGUGAGAGCGGCCGGCUUGUGCGGGAAGCCACAGAGCCACGCUCCUGGAGUUGUCUGCCCACAGGGCACCACACAGCCCUUGCUCCAACUUCUGCCACCUGGUGGGGGGUCCCCUGAGGUACGGCACCUGGCCACGUCUGGAGAGAUUUCUGGUUGUCUCAGUUGGGGUCCUGCUGACAAUAGUGGGAAGAGUGUGGCAGGACGGCUGCAAAUGCCCUGUAAUGCACAGGGCAGCCGACCCUGAAAGUCUGACGUCUCUCAGACAUCAGUGGUGCCACGGCUGAGACCUCUGCUCCAGACGUCACUGCUCCCAUGGGGUCAGGUCCUGAUCCUGCCCAACGCCCCCGCCCCUGCCACUGCCUGGGCUGCCCUUGUGCAGAUCUUGUCCUGCCUGUGGCUUGGGUGUAUUCGUGCCCCAACCACGACUUCAGGAGGCAAUUUUGGUGCUUUAUUUUUAUCUCUGCAGUUCCUCCCAGGCUAUAAGAAACUUCCCUCUUCCAUAUGAGGCCUCUGCCCUGCCCCCCAGCCUGUGGGAUGUGCAGCCUCUUCUCCCUGCGGGCCCCACACCCGCCACGGGGGAAACGGCAGGGGCAGGAGGGGUGUGGCAGAGGCUCCCCCUGGCAUUGUGUAGGGCUGGGGUGCCGGCCAGAGGAGACCCCAGCCGGGGCCAGAGCUAUUGGGGGUGUUCUUGGGCACUUGCUGAGGGCUUUGAUUCCUGGGCCUGGUGUGGAGGCAUCUCUGAACUCAACCCCCAUGCCUGUUCCUCUGCCGCUCCGUGCCAGCCAGUAUCUUCCGGGUGUUCCUGACUACACAGUGGGGCCGUGAAGGGGCCAGGCAGUGGAGGGUGCUGAGGCCGGGCGCUGGGCCCUGAGAGGGGCUGACUGUGGCCUACUUAAGGCGGAUCACCUGCAGGGGCCCUGGGCCAUGAACGGCCGCGCGCUCCCUGCCGUCCAAGCAGUAUGCAGGCUGGGGUGGGUGACAGCCUGAGUGGGACAGAGGCUGCAGAAGGAGGCCUGCUUGCCGGGCCUGGCGGUGGCCAGCUGAGCUCACAGAGAAAGGUUGCUGGAACCUGGGUGGGCAGGGGCGGGAGGGAACCAUCCUGUCUAGGGCUGAGUUGUGGGAAAAACCCCUGAAGGGCUCUUGAGCUAUGGCCUCUGGGAUAGGGCUGAGGAGUCCAGAGCUGGGUCUGGAGUUAGCCUCACGGUGGGGGCCGGCAGGUGACAACCCCUGCCACCUGGUGGGGCACCUAGAGGCCGGCCCAUGUACCUGUCGGAUGCUGUCCCCUGCUGACCUCAGCCUCACAGGGCCAUUUGGUGGAGGAAACCGAUCCAGGACGUUGGGUCACACGACAGCUGAGUUAAGGCAGGGACUAGAAUCCAGGCCCAGACUUGGAUGCUUUCAGGGGGUCGGGGGGCCGUCUGAACAGCGUCUGAAGGCUGGGGAUUCUCUGUAGGAUGUGGGAUGGCCUGUGUGUGUCUGCGUGUGCUGACAAACACUCCUGGUUGCACGGGGGUGGGAAGCACUGAACAUUCCCAGGUGACCCGUGGGGAGUGGGGGGCGUGGUGGGCAACAGCAGGGCUGGCAGGACUCCCUGAGGCCAAGGUGCAGGGAGACCUCAGGCCAGGCACAAGCUUGGGCCAACUCCUGGAGAACCUCCAAAACGUGGCUGACGCCAGGGUUGAGCUGGGUGACCAGGUGGCAUUAAUGGCAUCUUGUAGAGUGUAAAAUUGUGGAGCACACUUGUCCCAGGCAAUUCGGGAACGCAGGGUUCAGCUCCGACUGCACGUGGGAGGAGUGCCCUCUGUGCCCAACAUUGCCUGCCCUGAGUUGGCCUCACGCUGGUGUGGACAGUCUGGUCCAGGAGGAGACUGAUCCUGCCCAGCGUCCUCCUGCUGAGCAGAGCUGGGGUUUCCUGUCCCUCUCACGCCUGUUCUCCCAGAGGUGGGUCAGGUAAGCACAGGGUCCUCUGGGCUCAGACUGUUGUGGGGGGUGGUGCUGGGUGCUCCGGGCCCCUCCUGGCCACCAAGAGGAGCCCAUUCAUUUUGGUCCAAUCGUUUCAUUACUUUGUAUUUAUUUUAUUUUAUUAUUAUUUUUUUUUUAACGUGCUAGCCAGGUAAGAUUGUAGCUCCACGUGAAGUUCUGCAAAGCUUGGGGUCUGUCACGGGGGGGCUUCCGUGGCCGUCCUUUCUCAGACAACUGUUGGUUUUCCUGUUUUCUUCUGCAUGUUUGUUUAUUGAUGUAUCAAAAUCCAGCCCCAGACUUGCUGACAGAAUUUAAAAAGUCACAGUUUGGUCCAAUUUCUCAAAUGAUUCUCCCGGUGGCCCCUAUCUGGGCUGCCCCAGGCCGCACCCGCUGGGUCCGGUUUCUGGGUCGCCACGGUCCGCUCUUGCGCAGUCUUUUCCCUUCUUUCCAUGGAGGAUAGUUUCUUUUUAGGGGGAAAAAAAAGAAGAAAAACUAUAUUUAUUUAUUGCAAUAAAUAUUGCUACAUUUAUUUAUUCAUUAUUUAUUUGUUUGUUUAUUUAUAAAUAAACUAUAUCUGUUUGUUUAUUGCUGAGCCAGGGGCAGAAGGAAAGCAUCUCAAGGAGACCGAUCCCACGAUCCGGAGGAAGGACCCAAGCCGAAGCCGAGAGUCAGAUGCUCCACUGCCUGAGCCAUCCAGCGGCCCUCGGGGAAUACGUUUUCCCGAGGAGGGACGCCCCGGGUCGAGAGGGCCACACGAGGGCUGGCCACCACAAUUGUCUGUGUAUCCAGCAUGAGGACUGACAUGGGGCUUGAACUCACGAUCCUGGGAUCGUGACCUGAGCUGAAAUCAAGAGUCAGAGGCUUAACUGAAUGAACCACCCAGGUGCCCCAGGCAAGUUAUUUUUCAAAAAAAUAGUUAAGGUCGUGUAAACGCACACACGUAUGUUUAACUCUAUCAAGUAUCGGCUCUCUCUUCCUGUAAACCCCAGUGCUCCGAGUUACUCACAUUUCAUCCUGUCACUUACCUGUCAGCUCCCGCGGCACGUGCUCUCUGAAGGCACCGUCAUUACCUCCCCUUCCCAGGCACACGCUGCUUGGCAGUGUGACUUCGCUGCUGCUCCUGUUGAACGCUGGGGUCGACCUCCCCUCCGCUUGAAGGCUGGGUCUGCUCUGACCCACUGAGUGUAGUGGAAGGCUGCCAAGCCUCGGUGUGAGGGGCCUGGCAGCUUCCACCAGUGGAAGGGAGCUUGGGCUAGACUCCUGAAUACCAGCAGGUUGUGCAGAGGGAAGAGGCCCGUGGACAGAGAGGGAGUGGGUCACGUGGACAGAGGGUGCCAGUGGGGAGAGAAAGGGCCAUGUGGAUUGGGGGGGGGCAGCGGACAGAGAGGGAGGGCCCCGGGGAGACAGGACCCACCUGAUAGCCACUCUGAGGCCCAGGCGCCAAAGUGAAGCCGGCUGGAUCCCAGCCCCCGCUGAGCCGUCCUAGCCGCCACCACCGCCGUGUGGGACACAGACGAGCUGUCCUGGCAGAAUUCCUGACCCACGGAGUCCCGAGCGGUGAAAGGUCACGGACACAGGUGCGAUCUGCCCUGCAGUGGGGGUUGGGGCGCUGCCCUCCGCAAUUCUGCUCUCUCUGACCAUGAUCGGUGACUCUCCUGCUUCAUUUAAUCGGUAUGGAACCGUGAUGCUUACUUCUGUUGGGUCACGAUCCACAGCACCUGUGCUGACUGUCCCUGGAGGCCGCUGCUUGGCCCCGUGGCUCUUCGGCCCGUCACAUCACUCUCCCGUCAGUUUCCAGCACUGCCUCCCCCCGGCACCGCGGGUUCUUCAGACGGUGGUGCCGGUCUCUUCUGCCAGUCCUAAGACCAGCCGCUUCUCCAAGGUGCCCUGGUUCCUUUUGUCGGACGCCGGUCUCAGAAACGAGGGUCUGGGUGCCGGUGAGCCUGUGGCUUCCCGGACGACAGAGCUAGAAGAUGCUGGUGCGCGUGCUCUCCCGCGCUGGUGUGCGCCGGCAUCUACACCAUCCUGAACACAAGCUGCUGCUGGUGUCCCCAGCUGCCACCCGUGACCACACAGGUCAUUCUAGCUGCCUCUCCUUGCUUCACUCCGAGUAGUGAGACACGCGGCCGCCCACCUGCGGAGCUGGUUGAUGCUGGCGCACGCCGGAGUCGAUAGACCAGAGCCUGCGGCCCGCGAGCCAGCGAGGAGGCCGCGCACAAUUCCGCGUCCUUGCAAACUGUUCUCAUCCCCGAAGCGACCUGGGUCAGCAUUUCGCCACCCUCUACACAAGUUCAUUUCUUCGAAUUCUGAUUCACUCCGAUUCUCCCAACUUCCUAAACUAGCUUUUUUACAACUCUGUGUGCAUUGAGGCUCCCACCGAGCUGUGCUCUGCCUUGAAUCUUGGUAAGCGCACGGGGCCACCCACCCACCAGGACGAUCCGGUACAGAACGGCUUCCGUGCUCACGCCUCACCCCAGCUUGUCGUUGUACAGCCAGUUCCUUUCGAGGUGGUUUGUUCUGGAGCAAAGGCUACAGGAAAUAGUGGGUAAUUUUUAGAGAUACUGAAAUUCCCAAAGACAGACGACAGAGCUAGUGCUCACUAUAUAAAAACGUUGGUUUUUU
This is a long non-coding RNA of Mustela lutreola (European mink), 5407 nucleotides long. RefSeq lists it as uncharacterized. NCBI's taxonomy places the organism in Eukaryota, Metazoa, Chordata, Mammalia, Carnivora, Mustelidae. The transcript is spliced from 2 exons. The record is from RefSeq and is a predicted model, not a curated record.